UACGAGGGGGGCAAGCGUUGUUCGGAAUUAUUGGGCGUAAAGGGCGCGUAGGCGGUGCGGUAAGUCACCUGUGAAAUCUCUGGGCUCAACUCAGAGUCUGCAGGCGAAACUGCCGUGCUGGAGUAUGGGAGAGGUGCGUGGAAUUCCCGGUGUAGCGGUGAAAUGCGCAGAUAUCGGGAAGAACACCCGUGGCGAAGGCGGCUCUCUGGGACGGUACUGACGCUGAGACGCGAAAGCGUGGGGAGCGAACAGG
Molecule: ribosomal RNA, 253 nt
Filed under: uncultured bacterium
Lineage: Bacteria
Description: partial 16S ribosomal RNA
Rfam family: Bacterial small subunit ribosomal RNA
Source: RNAcentral